GUUGAAGAUAGUGUCCCAUAGGCAGGUGGAACACCACCUCUGGCAACAUCCAAAUAGUCUGAAAGAAUCAAGCAUUGAAUUUCUUUCAGCAACCUGUACUUAAGCUGAUUGAUGUCCCAUAUGGAGAAACUUCAAGGGUUGACAACUGCUUCC
Molecule: long non-coding RNA, 153 nt
Filed under: Cyanistes caeruleus (blue tit)
Lineage: Eukaryota; Metazoa; Chordata; Aves; Passeriformes; Paridae
Description: lncRNA (ENSCCEG00000008028.1)
Source: RNAcentral